Long non-coding RNA from Equus caballus (horse), 3592 nucleotides. NCBI's taxonomy places the organism in Eukaryota, Metazoa, Chordata, Mammalia, Perissodactyla, Equidae. The record is from Ensembl.
AAUAAAAAUUUUCAGCUACCUAAGAUUUUUCUUUUUUUUGGUGAGGAAGAUUGGUCCUGAGCCAACAUCUGUUGCCAAUCCUCUUCCUUUUACUUGAGGAAGAUCGUCACUGAACUAACAUCUGUGCCAAUCUUCCUCUACUUUGUCUGUGGGAUGCCACCACAGUAUGGCUUGAUGAGCAGUGUGUAGGUCUGUGCCUGGGAUCCAAACCCACAAACCCCAGGCUGCCAAUGCAGAGCACACAAACUUAGCCACUAUGCCACUGGGCCAGCCCCAGAUUUAUCUAAAUUUAUGCUCUAUCAGAAGCCCCAUGAAGGGCUUAGACUAGAUGAUCUCCCAAAUAUUUUUCAGUUGUAAAAGUCUGUGAUUCAGAGUCUCAAUAUUAUAAAUUCUGGGUUUAUUGAAUCUGAAUUCAAAAGGUUUUCCUGUCUUUAAAAUACAACUUAAAAGUCAUGUUGUAAAGACUUUAGGAGCUGGAAAGUUUUCUAGUGUCCCAUCUGCCUCUUCCUCCCACCUGAGCCUUUGUUGACUCACCCGUCAAGUGAGGACAGUAAUACCUACCAGUAGAAUCACUGUGAGGAUUAGAGAAAAUGGACACACAGCACCUAAAAUAGUGUCUGUCUUGCAGUGAUGUUCAGUCAUCGUGGAGACUGCUGGGUCUAUUGGUGUCUGCAGCAUUUGCCGACAGAUGUUACUCUUAGGUUGAUGCACUUGCCUCACCUAAUCUCUUUCUUCUAAAAUUAUACAACUUAAUGGUUAAUGAUGAUGGUGUCACCCCUGGGUUCAAACAUCUGCUCUAUCAGCAACUCACUAGCUGUAUGAUCAGCAACUCACUGGCUGUAUGAUAAGAAGCAAUUUACUGAAUCGUCCAUAAACUCUCCUCUAUAAAGUAGAAAAUAAUUGUACCAAAUUAAUGGACCUAGUUUAGGGAGAUAAUGCAUGGAAGUCUGAUUUUGCCCCGCAUUUUAUCCCCAUUACCUAGCAUAGCACCUGGUAUACAGUAAGCACUCAAUAAAUACUAAGAUUUAUCUAUUAGGUAUAAUUAUUCUAUUAUUUAAUUAUAAUUUAAUAUUAGGUAUGUUAUCUAUUUAUCUAUCAUCAUCAUCAUCAAUGAACUUGUUCUAUUUCUCUCUCACAUCUUCUUUGGUUUAGAAGUGGUAGUUACAUAUUUUAACAAAAGUGGGUUUUGGUUAGAUCCUCGGCUGAAGUGGGGAAGUGAUGUCUACUAAUGAUAUCAUCUAUUCUGCUUAAUUAUUCAUUUAUUUACGAAGUUUUUUCUGAGCAGCUGCUAUGUGUCGGGCUCUGAGGAUACAAUGGAAAGCAAGAAGACACACAAGCUCUGCUAUCACGGAGCAAAGAGUUUAUGAGAGAGAGAGUAAUGUUAAUCAUGGAAGGACACUAACAAAUGAACAAUUGUAUAACUUAGCCAAGGACCAUGAAGGAGAGAUACAGAGCUAAAUGAGGGGGAUUUGACAUAGGCAAGGAAGGAGUUGAAGUCCACAGGAGGAACAGCAGAGGAUGAAGAAGCCUAACCACAUGGGGGUUUAUAUGACAUGUUAUGAAAUUGAGUUUUAUCCUAAAUUUAAUAGGAAGUAGGGAAUAGUGCAUAAUGAGAUUUGUGUUUCCAAAAGUUUACCUUGGUGACCAUAUGGAAAGUGAAUCAGAAUGAGACAGAGGCAUACAAGAAGAUGUUAAAUGUCAGUGAUUCACAUUGUAUAAAAUCCCAAAGGGAUAGUCUCCAUCAUGAUUCUUUCUUUGAAUCUCAGAAAAAAGGUUGAUGCCUUUUUCAUAGGUACCCAAAAAGUAGAGGAAGAGAGAAUUCCUAAUGAGGUAAACUUUUCCUUUUACAGUUACUGUCAAUACUAAGAACCAAGAGAUACCACAUAGACCUCUGAAUUUAUCCUUCUCCUCUUCAAAUUUUGCUGUGACCACAAGAGAACAAAGCUAUCCAUGUUUACUGCCUUAUGUUAUGGGCAGUCACAUGCCCUCUAAUUGAGAGGGUUGCAUGCCAAGCUAAUCACCUAGCCUCAUAAAAUCUCACUGGUUAUUACACUGAUGGGGCUAGGCUACAAUGCAAUUAGAGUUAUGAAACUCACCUCUAAACCUUAGGUCCAUCAAGGACAGAAUAAAGAAAACCACCUCUAGCUAGAGAGCUCUCCUGUCAACCAACCUCUUAAAAAGGUAAGGUGGUGAGUUUAUUCAUAUUUCCUUCUGCAAAUAUUUAUUCAACUCUUAUUAUGUACUAGGUACCCCCUAAGUAUUAAAUGUUGAACUAAGCCUGCCCUCGAGAGGGACAUCUGCACUGUCAUGUGAUUUAAAGGGAAAGGCUAAUGUUUAUGGACCUACUGUGUACUUGGUAUUUUAUGCAGAUUAUCUGAAUUGGUCAUCAAGACAACUCCACAAAAUAGAAAUUCUGAUCUCCACUUUGGGAGAGUUAGGAUUUGAACCUAGAUCCAUUGACCACAAAGCCCUUGCCCUUCCAUUACAGUAUGCUAUUCAUCAACAUGGAGCCCCUUUUUCAGAGAUAGCUCCCCAAGAAGGGGAAGCUGCCAAGAUUCACCCUCUCUCCAGUGCCCUCGUUUUAAAACCAAACCAGGAUUUCUGAAUCUCAGCGCUAUCGACAAUUAAGACUGGAUAAUUCUUUGUUGUGUGGGGCUAUCCUGUCACUAGAUGCCAGUAGUACUCCAUUUAUGGACGGUGCCAAAUGUCCUUGGGGAGCACAAUCGUGCCUGGUAGAAAACAAAGGCAAGAGGCCAAAGGACUGAACCCUGAGGUCCACCAACAUUUGAAAGGAAGGCAGAGGAAGAGAAACUAUUAUGAAUGACCAAAUGAGGAGAGUUUCAAGAAAGAACUGUUUGGCAAAGUCGGCUGUUCCAGAGAAGUUACAUAAAAUGGACAGAAAAAAAAUCUUUGACUUUGGUGAUGAGGAGGUUCUUGGUGACCUAAGAGAGAAACGAAGCCUGUAUGAGAUUGAGGCCCAGACAAGAGGAAACUAUUUAAAAGCAGUGUUCAGACCCUGGUGGGAAGUGGUCACUGCCUUCCAGAUUCUUAGCCACCUCACCCACUUUGGGCAGCUGACUUGUCGAGGAGCAGAUUUACAUGCAAUAUGCUAAGAUGGAAAUAAUGCUUUAAAAAAGAAAACACACAAUCAUUUUGCGGAAGACUUGAGAAAAACGUUUUCAGCUUAAAGAGAAAAAAGCAGUGAGACCCCUUCGGCGUCUGUGCAAAACUGUUUGCUUGGCUCUGGAGGUGAUAAAAAUAAUUUAUGAAGCUCUACAUUUUUAGCAAGAGGAAAUGACCUCAGCUUUUGGCAAUCUGAUGCAGUUAGUGAAGCCUCUCUCUACUACUUUUAUGGAUUUCCUUGAGCUGCAUAUUCUGUGACCUGUAUUUCAGAUUUAUUGGCAGAUACAUAAGCCACAUUAAGUAACAUAAAAUGCAGUGAAUGCAUCAAACAACUCAGCGGGGACCGACUGACAGCGGGCGAGAGGCUGCCUCUUCGAAGAAGUCAUUCCGAAUCUGAUACCUGUUUAUGCAUUUGUCUAACCAGGCUCUGGAUUUUUAUUUUAAAUAAAGACAUUAUUUCAAAACAAAA